UACAGAGGUCUCAAGCGUUGUUCGGAUUCAUUGGGCGUAAAGGGUGUGUAGGUGGCGCCGUAAGUCGGGUGUGAAAUUUCGGAGCUUAACUCCGAAACUGCAUUCGAUACUGCGGUGCUUGAGGACUGGAGAGGAGACUGGAAUUUACGGUGUAGCAGUGAAAUGCGUAGAUAUCGUAAGGAAGACCAGUGGCGAAGGCGGGUCUCUGGACAGCUCCUGACACUGAGACACGAAGGCCAGGGGAGCAAACGGG
This 253-nucleotide ribosomal RNA is filed under the name uncultured bacterium. RNAcentral's name for it is "partial 16S ribosomal RNA". It matches the Rfam family "Bacterial small subunit ribosomal RNA", at positions 524 to 776 of the family's 1533-position model. The record is from RNAcentral.